UACGUAGGCAGCGAGCGUUGUUCGGAGUUACUGGGCGUAAAGAGUGCGUAGGCGGUUUUCUAAGUUUGGUGUGAAAUCUCCCGGCUCAACUGGGAGGGUGCGCCGAAGACUGGAAGGCUUGAGUAUGGGAGAGGUAAGCGGAAUUCCUGGUGUAGCGGUGAAAUGCGUAGAUAUCAGGAGGAACACCAGCGGCGAAGGCGGCGCUCUGGGCUGGCACUGACGCUGAGGAGCGAAAGCGUGGGUAGCGAACAGG
Molecule: ribosomal RNA, 253 nt
Filed under: uncultured bacterium
Lineage: Bacteria
Description: partial 16S ribosomal RNA
Rfam family: Bacterial small subunit ribosomal RNA
Source: RNAcentral